Molecule: ribosomal RNA, 406 nt
Filed under: uncultured bacterium
Lineage: Bacteria
Description: partial 16S ribosomal RNA
Rfam family: Bacterial small subunit ribosomal RNA
Source: RNAcentral
AUUGAACGCUGGCGGCAGGCCUAACACAUGCAAGUCGAACGAGUGGCGGACGGGUGAGAAAUGUCGGGAACACUGCCUGAUGGAGGGGGAUAACUACUGGAAACGGGAGCUAAUACCGCAUACCAUCGGAUGUGCCCAGAUGGGAUUAGCUAGUGGGGGGGGUAAAGGCUCCCCUAGGCGACGAUCCCUAGCUGGUCUGAGAGGAUGACCAGCCACACUGGAACGGAGACACGGUCCAGACUCCUACGGGAGGCAGCAGUGGGGAAUAUUGCACAAUGGGCGCAAGCCUGAUGCAGCCAUGCCGCGUGUAUGAAGAAGGCCUUCGGGUUGUAAAGUACUUUCAGCGGGGAGGCGUUACCCGCAGAAGAAGCACCGGCUAACUCCGUGCCAGCAGCCGCGGUAAUUC